Non-coding RNA from Pocillopora verrucosa, 704 nucleotides. Lineage: Eukaryota; Metazoa; Cnidaria; Anthozoa; Scleractinia; Pocilloporidae. The record is from RefSeq and is a predicted model, not a curated record.
GUGUGGGAGUUCGUGUAAGUAGCGGUAGUUUGGAAGAUAUUUUUUCAGAAGAUAGCGACUCUAAUGCCUUAAGCUUAGUACAUGACAGCGAUGGGGAUAAUCCAGAAUCUUCAGGAGAGUCUGGGCCACGUUCUUAACAAUAUGAGCCGCGUAGAGUUCACCGAAGCGAUCCGCACGAAGACAGUACAGAACAUGUCGACAGCGAUGCGACCGUCUCGGAAACUCAGACUGAAAUCGGGCAAUUGUGGCAAAAAGUAGAGUAGCAAGGGCCUGAAACCCAGAUAAGUUGUAUCACUGAGCAUCCAGGUUUUCAGUCAAUUUGCCUUGAUUUCUGGGUGCUGGAGACGGCCAAUUGCGCGUACAGGCAGCAGCAAGGCACAGAUAAUCACACCGGAAACGAGAAAUUUCGCUAAAUUGCCUACAGAUAGCUUAUUCGUUGGUGUUGGGAAUAUCUCGGCAAACACUUCAGGGUCGCUGUGCCAUCUUGUGCGUUAAACAAUAUUCGAAACAUUUUUCCAGCGGAUUUUGGAUCGCCUUACACUGGAUUAAAACCGCCAAACCUUUGAGAGAAAUAAAGGGUUUCUCAAAGGAAGCACCAAGUGGGGCUGGCAUGGAUUUUCUUAUAGAACAUAGGGGUUGAUAAUGGGAUCCUGUAUAGAAUUCUUUGCAUCGAACCAACAAAAUUCCAGAUCACGUUAUUACAC